Molecule: ribosomal RNA, 458 nt
Filed under: uncultured bacterium
Lineage: Bacteria
Description: partial 16S ribosomal RNA
Rfam family: Bacterial small subunit ribosomal RNA
Source: RNAcentral
CCUACGGGUGGCAGCAGUGGGGAAUAUUGCACAAUGGGGGAAACCCUGAUGCAGCGACGCCGCGUGAGUGAAGAAGUAUCUCGGUGUGUAAAGCUCUAUCAGCCAGGGAGAAAUAGCGACCUCUGGGUCGCCAGACGGUACCUGAUUAAGAAGCCCCGGCUAACUACGUGCCAGCAGCCGCGGUAAUACGUAGGGGGCAAGCGUUAUCCGGAUUUAAUGGGGGUAAAGGGAGCGUAGACGGCAGCGCAAUUCUGAAGUGAAAUGCCGGGGCUUAACCCCGGAACUGCUUUGGAAACUGUGGAGCUAGAGUGCAGGAGAGGUAAGUGGAAUGCGUAGUGUAGCGGUGAAAUGCGUAGAUAUCAGGAGGAACACCAGUGGCGAAGGCGGCUUACUGGACUGUAACUGACGUUGAGGCUCGAAAGCGUGGGGAGCAAACAGGAUUAGAUACCCCAGUAGUC